This is an RNA transcript of Lethenteron reissneri (Far Eastern brook lamprey), 2163 nucleotides long. It is a transcript of the gene named GPALPP motifs containing 1, with no coding region annotated. Lineage: Eukaryota; Metazoa; Chordata; Hyperoartia; Petromyzontiformes; Petromyzontidae. The record is from RefSeq and is a predicted model, not a curated record.
ACGGGGUCCUGGUGCUGUGAUCGGGGUCCUGGUGCUGUGAUCGGGGUCCUGGUGCUGUGAUCGGGGUCCUGGUGGUGUGAACGGGGUCCUGGUGGUGUGAACGGGGUCCUGGUGGUCGUGAACGGGGUCCUGGUGCUGUGAUCGGGGUCCUGGUGCUGUGAUCGGGGUCCUGGUGGUGUGAACGGGGCUCCUGGUGCUGUGAUCGGGGUCCUGGUGGUCGUGGACGGGGUCCUGGUGGUCGUGAACGGGGUCCUGGUGGCUGUGAAACGACGACCCCUGCGCGAGACCCCGGUUUCGAACCGUCAGACAUGUCGAGGAGACGCGGAGGGGACGAGAAGGGGUCCAAGAUCCCGUCGAGAUUCCGGGUAGAACGUGGAGACGGUGACACUUCCAGGGCAUCGUCCUUUGGGCCAGCCUUGCCUCCUGCAUUCCGGCCGCAGCAGAAGGUGGAGGAUGAGGAGGAGGAGGAGGAAGAAAUCGGACCAGUCUUGCCCCCUGGGUUUCGACGGCAGAAGGAGGAUGAGGAUGACGACGAUGACGAGGAGGAGGAGGAGGGGGGCAUUGGGCCAGCCUUGGCCCCCGGGUUUUCUGGGCAAAGCGGCACAGCCAGUGGAUCAGGGCGGAGCCCAGUGCGCAAGAAUACUGAUGACGAUGAUGACGGCUACUUUGGACCAGCGUUGCCACCUGGGUUUGCGCCGCGGGCAUCCAUCAUUGGCCCCACCAUACCCCCAGGUGUCACCGAGCAGGACGACAGUGACUCAGAUGGGGAGAUCAUAGGGCCCAUGCCGGCUGAAGGCCCCAUUCAGUCGCGAGUGGCCGAGGAGAUUGAGCUGCGUUCGCAGCGCAUGAAGGACAAGCUCCUGGGCAAGACGGACGAGGGCCCUGUGGUGCGCGAGUCCUGGAUGAUGGAGCUGCCUGACGACGCGAAGACGUUUGGGCUGGGGCCGCGCUCGUUCCGUCGCAAGGCGGCGCCCGACGCCGGCGACCGCUCCGUGUGGACCGACACGCCGGCGGACCGCGAGCGCCGGGCCAGGGAGGGGGACUCCGACAAAGCCGGUGGGAGCGGCAAGAAGAAGAGGAAGCACAAGGUGGAGAGUGAGCCCUCCGAGCAAGACCUUCAGCUGGCCGAUGCGGUGGCGGCCUAUAACGAGGCCAACCGCGGCGUGUCGCUGAUGGACCAGCACAAGCGCAAGCGCAAGUCGGGUGGGGCGGCCACAGGCCCCCCGCCGCCACGCCGGCCGUUCGAUCGCGACGUCGACCUGCAGGGGGGCCGCGUGGACGGCAGGAAGCGGCAGGACAUCAUCGACAAGUCCCGGCUGCUGGGCUCGCGGUUCUCCCACGGCAACAGCCGCAUGUUCCUGUGACGGCACCUAGGGGGAGCCCCUCGCCGCGGCCGUUGCGUUCGUCGCGUUGCCGCCCGCGGGGGAAACCGCCCGUAGGUUCGCACCAUCUCUGCAGGGUCCCGGAGUGAAGAGGCCCGGUUGUGAACGUGGCGGAUGGGGCCUUGGACCGCCCUGCACGAAAGGAUUGUCACGGGCAUUGCAGUCAGUGGCGUAGCCGCGGUUGAUUGGCAGUGGGGGGGCUACGUGGUGGACAGCAGAGGGGCAGUGCGGUGAAAUCCAUUGCUGUACUGUACUUCUAUGCUCCCACAUUCAUGACGUACACCUUUACCAACACACAGACCGGUAUGGUGAAGUAUUGUCAAAUAACCUCCCACAACUCACAUAAUAUAGAUGUACAGUUUGGAUUUAUAACAUAAAUGGGAUUGCAUAGGGAUAAGAACGGAGAGGUAGGAGAGUGCGUGGAGGGGAGUAGAGUGAGAUGAGAGAGGUAGGAGCGUGCGUGGAGGGGAGUAGAGUGAGAUGAGAGAGGUAGGAGAGUGCGUGGAGGGUAGUAGAGUGAGAUGAGAGGGGAGAAACAGGCAGGGGUCAGUCCAUGCAGGAUCUCGAAGACGGUGAGUGUGAUAUUGUAGUUGGCGUGGGAUUGGAUUGGGGGCCAGUGGAGGGAUCUGUGUGUCGGGCGAUGUCUCAUUUACAGGUGCGGGUUGAGAAGUGAGACAGCAUUUUUUGUUACAUGAAUGUUUGAAGAAUCACUUUAGAUCGGCUUUUACUCUCGACCAAGGCAUGUCACGUAUAUACUUUGGCAAUAAACCAUUGCUUUUUA